GUACUCAUGCAUGAUCCAAUUGGUUUUGAUCCCUUUUGGGGGCUUCCCACCAUAGAAAACAAGAGCUUUCUUGACGCCGACCUUUUGAGUACCACCGGAGGUUAAUACUGGCUUAUCAGUUCCGGUGGCCUUCCAAUACCCUGAAGUUGCUGCCCUGUUUGGCCUCACACCGUUGGGGUACUUCCGGUCUCUUGGACUAAAAAAGUACCAUUCUUGCUCGCCAAAUGUCGCCUUCGCCGGUAAUUCCCAGGGAUCAAACUUGUAAAGAUCAACUUCUGCGAUAAUUGCUACCGGAAGAGGAGCAGAGGCGGCCUUUUUCUUAAGGUAAUGAACCACUAGCUCUUCAUCGGUAGGAUGGAACCUGAACCCCGGUGGAAGGUUGGGCUGUUGAGAGGCGGACGACGAGUCGGUGCUCUCCAUUAGGUAUGGGACGGCCCUUAAUUAGAAGUGUUGAAUUGGAGAGAUUGAGAAGUGGGAUUUGGAGGAGUUUUGAGAGAAGAG
Molecule: unclassified non-coding RNA, 501 nt
Filed under: Hevea brasiliensis (rubber tree)
Lineage: Eukaryota; Viridiplantae; Streptophyta; Magnoliopsida; Malpighiales; Euphorbiaceae
Source: RNAcentral